Long non-coding RNA from Drosophila persimilis, 2522 nucleotides. RefSeq lists it as uncharacterized. Lineage: Eukaryota; Metazoa; Arthropoda; Insecta; Diptera; Drosophilidae. The record is from RefSeq and is a predicted model, not a curated record. The transcript is spliced from 3 exons.
UGCUGUUCCAAGAAAGGGCAUAACAAAAACGUUAAUCUUUUUACCUCUCCCUCUACGCCAAGCUUCUCCAGGAAUUCCUGACCAUUUCGCCCUAGCAUGCUGUGUGUAGCGCCUGAAUCCAAAAGGCCUCUCAUGGACUCUCCCAUUAUAGAGAUUAUUACGAAAACUCUCGGGUCUUUUUUGCAACAGCGUUUUACUGAAGCAAUCACCUACCUCCUCAUAGUUCGCCUUUGCUUAAUCCGGAAUCUCGCCUUUUUCACCCGAACUGACGGUGCUCGCAUACCAUCCACUUGUAGUUCAGAAAAUAUUAUAUUUCGGGUUUCUAAAUAAUUUCUUAACCGCUCUUCAUAUGAUAAGUUAUUUAAUCUAGCAUGCAAAUAACGUCUAUCUAAUUCAUUUUUCUUCUCUUCUUUCUCUGCGCAGGCCCCCUCUGUGAGCGUUAUUCGCUGCUUGGAUCGCACUCCUCUUCGCGUUUCCCGCGCAAUUCUGGCAGGUCGGGCAAUAUACUUCGGGCUUUCCACACCGGUAGCAAAAAAUUCGCCUCUCCGAUGCCAUACAGUCUCUAAAGCCAUGAUUGGUCUGCCCGCAGUUCCAGCAAAUCAACUUUUACGGAACACGCCGUGUCACUUGCGCUUUCUUAAUGACCUCUGCCUCUUCAUUGCUAAUCACCCCGCGGCCAUAGCUGGUGGCUUUGGUUGAUCCUCGCCACGAAGAUCUAGCCUUCCUCUUCAGGUGUGCCUCUAUUUCCACGCAUUCAUCCCGUAGUUGGUCUAAGGAAUAAACCCGUGGUCUCCAACCUCGAGGCGAGCUUCCUCAUGAUAUGGAAAAAAUCUUUCACACUCUCGUUUGACCGCUGCAUUCUUUCCCGCAGUUCUCUCAUAUGGUCAAGCUCGGACGCCGUGCUUCGGAAACGUGCAAUUAGGUCGUCCCUAAGAUCCUGCCAAACACCACCGCCAUGAUCGCGAAUGGACUGCCAGUACCAUUCCCGCGCGUUUCCUGUAACCAGGUGAUAGAAUCCCUUGAGAACCUCAUCCCACGGGCAGCGACAUUGGGAUUGUAGGAAUUCAAUUCGGAACAAAAAAUCCUCGACCGUCAUUUUGUUGCUGUCCCCGUCGAACGUUACAUCCCAUUUUUCGUCUCGGCCCACCGUGGCCAAGGUCUAUAACCCGGCGGGUUUGAAUGCGGAAUUCAAACUCGAGGAAUUUCACCAGCUCUCUUUCUCUCGCCACAACCCUGACCUGAGUGUCUACGUGCUAUCGGGUUUCGCCAAUCUCGCGCUUGAUUCUCAGCCCGUUUAUGCUGCCUACUGGAUGCGGUCGCCCCUACUCCUGAUGACGGUUCCGGACCAAUACCACCUCACCCCAAGCGAGCCAAAAAUGGCCCAUCUUCCUGGCCUAGACAGCUCCAAGUUCCUCCCGAUCUUGAUCGAAUAUCGCCCCGGACGCUUCUCCUAUCGGGUCCACUGUUUCGUUUACGCGUGAUCGCGUAUGAUACGGUCGACUACCCCCUUCUUGUGGCAUCUGCACUGAGCAACACCAAUACUACAACAAAAAAUGAACUAAAAUCGCUCCUCAACUACGAUAAAUAUAUAUAUAAAUAAAUAAAUACCAAAAUAAAUAUCUAGCAAUAAAUAAAUAGCACUACGCUUUGGACCAAUAAAUACUCAGAUAAAUAAAUACUUAAAUACCGAUAUAAAUAUUGCGCCAACUAGCUCCGUUAGCGAGAUAUAUACAAUUAAAUAUUUGAAUAAAUAAUAACAUAUAUGUAUAUUCGGUCGACACCUAAGACGCUUAAACUUCAAAUACAUUCAACACAACACAAAACCUAAGAACAAGGACCUAAGGACACGUGACUAGCCGGGACCAGCAACCGCUCCAGUUUCUGCGCUCCACUUGACAGCCCUACGGAUAUCUACAAUUACGUACACCACUUGUGUGACCGGUCACCUACUCUAGUCAUCGCUCAAAGCGAUAGCCGAUAAGCGAGAAGCCUCACGGUGCACGAGCCCACUUUGCUUGUGGUUUAUUCCUGUCAUCCAUCAUACCGAUCUGCCAUGACAACCGAUGCAUCGCGGGCUGUCUUUACGACUCCCGGGCCACCCAUUCCUCACCACAUCUCGGCAGACAGACCACAGGUUCAAAGCACGAAAGCGGCCUUUUUUUUUUAGCAAACAGAUUCACAUCACAGCUCACCAGGCAAUGUGUCCGUCGCAAACUUCCUGUUCAUUUUUUUUGAACGGCCGUGACUUACGUUCACUUGCGACAUCGAAUACUGACAAAAUGCUCAACUGCCAUCCGUAAGUCCCUAUCAAAUAUUUCAUAUUUACGUUAACUGCCUCCGUCUAUCUUUACCUAGCAACGAUCACCUUGCGCCAUUAAGGAUCAGCUUUACGCUCCCCUUAAGCCUGCAGAAGCGACUUAUGCCGGGAAAGCUAAAAUGCGCUUCGCGAGCUGUAGUUUCAUUUUCGUUUCUCCCCUGUUUGUUGAAAACAAAAAAAACGAGGGGGAACGUUGUGAGUUGCU